Physeter macrocephalus (sperm whale) is the source of this 2255-nucleotide long non-coding RNA. RefSeq lists it as uncharacterized. The transcript has 8 exons. Lineage: Eukaryota; Metazoa; Chordata; Mammalia; Artiodactyla; Physeteridae. The record is from RefSeq and is a predicted model, not a curated record.
UUGCUAGAGCUGCUGCUAAGGGGAGAGGCUUUGGUUACCUCAGCGCGGCCGCGGUUCCGGUCUCCGAGCCCCUGCAGCUCGGCGUUCGUUCGCGGGGGCUGGUGGGAUCGGAAACCUGUGCUAGACUGAAAACACGAGCCUCUCAGGCUGAGAGCAGUUUAGUGCGGCUGCGCAGGAGCGCCGGCGCGCGCGACUCUUACUGUGGCGUAGCGGGUUUCAGGAGGCGGCUCCCGGGGGUGAGGCGUUUAGGUGCGUGGCUUCCCCGCUCUCGUUGGGUGAGGUAACACAGACCUUGGAGCCAGAUUUGCUGGGUUUGUACCCCAGCCCCAACAGUUAAGCGCUCUAUGGCUUUGGGCAACUCAGGUAGCAUGAAUCUCAACAGCACAGAGAGAAAGCUUCACUGAAAACUCAUUGCAGUGGGAACAGAAAAAGAUGAAGAAGCCAGGAUUGGGGUCCAAGUUCAAAAGACGAAAGUCUGGAGCUGUCCAACUUCCUGUUUUCUUUAUUUUCCUGUCUUCAUGGUCGCACCCCCUCAACUCAGAUGGCAACGGUGCAGUCGGAGGCCUGCCCUUCUAAGCCUCCGACCCAGGCAGCAGUACGAACUGAGGUUAAAACACAGAUGCCACUAACCUGCAAACCAAAUGGCAUGAGUCAAUGACACCAGCUCCGAGACCUGUUUUGAGCCCAAGCAGUGGUCCAAGUCGCACAUAGGUCACCUUGCUUGAUCUAACAACAGAUCAACCUCGGAAAGAGGCAUUUUUGACAGAAUUUCACCCACUGAAAAAACAGCUGGCUAGUCCGUGUCUUUUCCCAGUAAUAAAUGAGAAGCAUUUAUUAUUUUAUUACACUUACCCAACCCACAGACCACCUUCUAAACGGGCUGUUUCCUGAAAGUUGCCAGUGAAUUCAAAGGCCUGCUUCUCCCACUUUCAUGUGUGGAGGAUGAUCGUGAUUUCGACAACAACUUGCCAUCUUUCUCUGAAUAUUCAUUCAACAAAUAAUUACUGUGCAUCCACUGAGUGCUAUCCCUGCCUGAGGCACUGAGGUAUGAAGUCUCUGUCCUCCUGGAGCUUGCUGUCUAGUAGGAGACAGAGGGGACAAGUAAACACAUAAGAUACGAUAUCAGGUGGUAUAUGUUCUGUGAGGAAGCAAAGAAGUGGGGUAAAGGACUAAAGAGUGGUGUAGCAGACGAGCUCAGUGCCUUGCCAGCAUCCCUGCGGCAUUCACCUGGGCACGCGGAGGCUGUUUCCCGUGAGCCCCUGAGGCCCUCUGCCUGGGGGCAGUUAUUUUUCCGGCGAUGGGAGAAUGCUUGGCCCACAAGCAGGGUAAGCAAGAAGUAUUUAUUAGAGAACAUCUUUCUCACUUUCCUCAUCUCAUAGUUACGAUAUCUCCUUUAAUCCUUUCUUUCACUAUUUCCUCCAGUUGGUUCACUUCUCAUUUCUCUGAUGGCUGUUUUUCUGAGAGUUCUGCCAUUUAAAUAAAAUGCGUCUACCACUGAUUGGGGCAGGGAAGCUGGACUGUCCACAGCCCUGCUUAGAGAGGCAGCCUCCAGGGGAAAAGCAGCAGGCUCCCUGCAGUGGCGCCCCCCUCCCCCCAAUUUUUUUAAAAGAUGGGAGACAGAUCAUUUUCUCCUGCUCCAUCGCCAUCAUCACUGUCAAGGACACCGUCUCCUGCGAACCCAUCAUGUGCUGAACUUCGGGCCAUUUGUUUGACCUUCAUCGUCUCUGACCCUCACACCAACUCUGAAAACCAAACAGUAACUAUAGCCCAGCCCAGGGAGGCAACCUUCCCUCCUACGGCAGACGAGGCGCUCCCCUCAUGCCUCUGGUUACACAGGACACACCGCAGCAGCGAUUCCCGUGGCCACAGUGCCCUCACCAUGCAUUCUGGGCCCUGCCAAGGCAGUUACUUUGAUCCUGAAUAGGAGACUCCAGAUCACAGGGGAUGUGGAGUUCUUUUUAGGCAGCUGGCAUGAGCUUAGCACAGAUGCCUCCCAGAGCAGGACUGCUUUGCUGCGUCCUGGGAGGUUCAUCAUCAAAACUUCCUGCCCUGACCCACAUUGUGACUCUCUCCAUUUGUGCUUCUGGCUGGAGCUACCAGGUUGGCAUAAUCCACGUCCAACAACCCACACCAUCGGUGAUCCCACUCCCACGUCUUUUCUCACACCACUGUUUCCUCAGAAGUCCCCUCCUUGGCUGCCUAAGUCCCUUCCUCUCUUCAGAGUCCCACCUCAAGUGAUAUCUUUGGUCUUUCUG